AGCAGGAUUUCAGUGCAAAUUUCUCCCAAUAAGCACAUUUUCCCCCCUAUGCAAUGUUGUCUUAACAGGCACAUUUUUGCCAACCAGCUUUCCCUAAUAUGUAUUUUUGUCUGCUAUAUCCACCAAGAUGCAUUUUUACCGCAGACAUUACAUAGGGUUGCCAAAAAAAAACAACAAAAAAACCCCACCCAGAAGUUAUUGAGCGAUUUUUUAAGGAAAAUCACCCAAAACAGCACUGCCAACAUGGCUUGCCAUACAUCCAGAUUUUCCUGGAUAUUUUAGCGAUUUUCACCCAGAAACUGCCUCCAACUGCAGUUUUCAGGCUAUAUCCGGGAAAUUCCAGACGUAUGGCAACCCUAACAUUACCCUAAUAAUCUGCAUUUAGUUCACAUUACUUGGCUGUGUUUUGGUUUGUUCUGAUCGACCUGCCUGAGGCUACCCAUUAGGCAGAAAGAGACGGUCCUGUAGGGGCUGCUGAACUUUCCACUCAACCCCUCCCCACCCAUUUUUUUCCCCUGUGGGGAAGGAAGACAACCUCCACUUUAAAGCUGGCCAGGACCCCACCAAAAUCAGAAGGCAGAAGUUUCAGGUUUGCAUUUCCCCACCCUUCGUAUGCAAAUACCCAUUGCUGUGCUCUGAUAUAACGAUGCAGAAUCCUGCAGGGCACCGCAUAGCAGAAGCACUUAGGUGAUUAGGAGGAAGAUUCAUGGGGUCCAGCUACAGAUCAUCAAAGUGCCAUCUCCUGGUCUCUGAAAGGCUUCCUGCCGGCAUCCGAGCCUUCAUCAGCAGACGAUGCCCCAUUUGCAAACACUUUUCUGCAGCCACGAGGACUAGUGGCCCUUUUGAAAAAUGAAAGCUGAGGUGCCUCUGGCACCAUGAGUGCGCAUACUUGCCGACCUAACCAUGCUUCAGUGGAGCUUGAGUAUGCUUUGUGUGGUUUCCAGAUGCAGCCCUGUUUUUAAUUUUCCACUAAUUAGCCAAUUAAGCCUGCUCAUAAUCUUGUCUCCUCGCUGGAGUCUCUAGGAUUCCUUCCAUCACCACACAGUUUUCCGGGACCCAGCCCAGCUUUGAAACAAUAUCUCUCCCCCCCCCCUUUACAACCUCCUUUCUGGGUAUGGCCUCCCUGAAGAACAGGCUUUCCCAAACAGAUCUCCAGCUGUUUUUGGACUCUCAUCCCUGACCACUGGUCCUGCUAGCUAGGGAUGAUGGGAGAUGUAGUCCCCAAACAGCUGGUGACUUAAGUUUGGGAAACUCGCCUGAAGAAGGAUGGUUAAGUGGCUUGAAGAUAGCUUGAGGAACAUCAUGGCCCAUCCUUAGGGAGCUCAGGGCUACUUAGCAACAGGUCUUCCUUGCCCACAAUUUCUUCCACUUUGGGCCUAGUUCCUCAUUUCCUUAAAUCCAACAUGGAGGCAAAACUUCCUUGAGGUUUGUUUGGGAAAAGCUUGUCUUGGUUUUCUCCUACAAUAUCUUUGCCACCUUGCCAACGUGGACUCCUUUGUCCCCACCUCAGGCUCAGCCUCUUACUUUGCUAGGGACAGAAGGAAGCAGGCCCCUAUUAGUUUGAGACACACACCCCAAAUAAAUGCUGAGCAGCCAUAUAUUGCAACCAACCUACUAGACCUUUGAUAAGGCAAAAAGAUGGAAGGCAAGAGUUAUCAAAUUCCUGGCAACUAUAUAUAGUAGGUAGGCCCUGUUCAGCUUGGUGAGUCAUAAGGCCUAGAAGGAAGCACUUUGCUGUUGCUAUGCAACCGCAAGACAUCGGCCUCUGCCUUCAAGGGUCAGCGUAGACAAUGCCAAUCUGGUCUAUCAUGCUUCUUCAUGCCUCUGUGUGGGAACAGCCUGUCCAAAUUACUGUACACUAUGUCUUACAUGCAGGAAGUUCGUCCUAUGUACAUAGUUCAGAAAUGUGUGAUCGGUUCUCAGAGCUUAUCUGAGAAGCGGCUGCUCCCUUUUGGCACAUGUGCAUAGGAUUUUUCAUGUGUAAAUGCAGCCAUAUACAGAAGGGUCGCGGGUGGCAAGCACGACAAGGAGAAGUCUGGACAAGCCAGUGGGAACUGCCCGGCAAGUCCUGCCAUUGCCUAGGUCUGUGACAUGGUUUCCCCAUCAGUCCCUCCAUCUUGCAAAAUGGCCCACUGGACAAAGACCUGCUGCCACAACAAUGAGUCCCCUUCAAGGAAAGGUACAAGAAUCACAAAGAUGUUCUCUACCCUAUUCUUAACAGUAUGGUUUGCUAUAUAGGGCAGGGACCUUAAAAUGAAACUAAGACAUCCGCAUACAGCCGGGAUGGAGAAACCUGUGGUCCUCCAAUUGGUGUUGGACUACAACUCCCAUCAUCCCUGACCAUGUGCUGUGCAGGAUGGGCUGAUGGAAGUUGGAGUCCGACAACAUCUGGAGGUCUCCAUUCUUGGCAUGCAGGCAUAAAUAGUUACCAAGAAGAGUGAAACUCGCACACAACUUGCGUACCUGUUUUUCAUUGUAUGGUUUAGUGAACAUGUUUUCUUUAUUAAAGAUACCUUCUUUCUCUUGCUCCCAGGGAGAGAGAGGGAGAGGGAGCUAUAGACCAGACUCUUAUUUUCUGCCGUUGCACAAACAUUGUAAUUUGGAAUCGUGUUGAAUUCAACAGCCUGGAUUUCUGUUUGUUUUGUUUUGCAUUUGUUGUUGUUUAGUUUCUAAUCCUCAAGGCUGUGGAGGUGGACUUGCUAGCAGAAGGUUUGUGCCAUUCAAAAUCCUCAGAAGUUGGGCAAGGGCUUCUACUUGUCAGUUUUUUUAGUGCAGGUCCUUGUCUACGAAUGAUUAGGAGAAGCAUUAUCUGUGCUGUAGAAUGAAAGCAAAUGUGUCUAUCAGGUCACAGAAGGGUGCAGGAAUGUGGGUUACCUAGAUGUAGAAUAUGAACUUUUUAAACAACUAAUGAUUUCCUCUUCCCAGAAUAUUGGACCCUGUCUUCUGCUUGCAUGAAAAAGGUGGAGCCCAUCUUAACACUGAAGCACAAAGUUCUUGAAAUGGUCUUGUAGCUGUGCCUUCACUCUCUGUUCCAUAAAGUGUGCUGAUUUUAGGUUAUAAUGCUGGUUUCUUGUGUGUUAAGAUGAUGUAUGGGGAUUGCAACCUGAACCUUUGGCUUGAACUCUGUCACAACAAACAGAUUCGUGUGCACCAGCAAUUCCACCAUUCCACCUCAGGCAUCAACACUUCCUGAGCCAGCCCUCCACCCCCGUUUCUGAGGUCAGGAAUUUGCAAACUUGACUACCUGAAGCAGACAACUUUCAGCUCUACCUGAGAUAGAAGAGGCAGGCGUGCGACACACAUUUUACCCCUUCCGUUCUCCCUCAUGCUUGCCCAUCUUGCAACGACAGCAUCUUCCAUUAAUACAGAAGCUUGCAUGCGUCAUGUUCCUUUGCGUGUCCCUCGAACAAACCACAGCUCAGGAAUAAUAACCCCCUAGUCCUUGUGCUUGCAAAGGAAAGUUUGAGAAAGGGCAGAGAAGAAGUGAGUGUGAUGGGGAAACACUGAAGCCCCCUGAGAAUGUGGCUUUGUCUCAGCGCAGGAAGUUGAGGGCUUCACAUGGGUACUCUGGUUGCAUAAACCAAAUAUAACUUGCAGGCCCCAGAGUGGGAGUUCAGCAAGCUCUAGGCCAGGGAUAGGGAACUCGUAGUCCUUAAGAUGUUGUUGGACUCUGGUUGGCAUCCAUGCCAGCCAGAAGAGCCAAUGGUCAGGGAUGCUGGGGGUUGUCAUUUGGUUAAGUCUGGAGGACUACAGGGUCUCCAUCCAUGUGCUAAGCUGAUUUCAAUCAUAGGGCUUUAAAGGUCCUGGCUAAGGCCAGUGGGAGUUUUCCCCAUGGAUAUUAAACACCUGAACCUCUGCAGGUUCUUCUGGGCUUCCUGUCCCCACCUCUUUCCUCCACAUGGUGCCUUUAUUUGGUGCUUUGCCAAGCCGCUGGGCAUCUCAGUUUGUGGUGUGCCUCAGCUCCUGGAGCAGGGAUGGUCAGCCCUCAGUCUAAUUUCAUGCGAGCAGCAAGGAAGGCAGAGAAGCGGGUGGCAGAGAGAGAGAGAAGCUGGCAGGAAACAAAGGAGCAGGGGGGACAGUUCCCGCCUGUUCUGAUUCUGCUGUAGGCCACCCACCCCACCCUGACAAAAAAUGGGUUUCCCACUCCAGUGCUGGAGCACAGCCUUGGUUUGGUUUCAGGGUGAGAUAGAGCACCGAUAACCUCAUUUCCUCCCUUAAGGAAGCACUGCUGUCUAAGCCUGCCCAUCAAUUGCUCCUGAGUCAAAGGGCUGCUCGCGUGAGCCUGCCGGUGCAUCCUUCCACAUUGACUGUGGCACAGGCUAGAUCCCAGAUCUUCAGUCCCAAACCUGCUUAGCUGUUCUUAUUUUAUCUGUAAGCCGCCUUGAGUCACUGUCGGGGAAAAGGUGGGGUAUAAAUAAUAUAUAAAAGCGAUAAUAAACCUCGGAACCUCAUCCUGUCUGGCAACUGCUACAUGGCAGAGUAAACUGAGUUUCCCCUUUGGCCUUGGGAAAGGGCCUUAGCUCAGAGCUAGAGCAGCUGCCCUGCAUGCAGAAUGUCCAGGGUUCAAGCCCUGGCAAUACCUCUGGAUCGGACUGGGAGAGAACCCCUUCCUGAAAUCCUGGAGAAAGCUGCUGCCAGCCAGUGUUGACAAUAAUGAGUUUGAUGGACCAGUCGUGACUCAGUAUAUAUGUUCUGGUGUCCCUUCUUCCGCUGCCUCUGAGGCAUCCCAAGUUGCCUGUCGGCUUUCCCUCCUCAAUCUCCUCUUGUCUGUCUUUCAGACGCCUCUUCCACAGGCAGCUACUCUUGUGCUGGUUCUCCCUUAAGUAGUUCUCUCUGUAAGGGCUUCUGAGAACAUCCAAGGCAGGAAUCUAUGUGGCAUGGGUCUCUGGGGGCAGCCUGGCUUUCGUUUUUGGUAACCUGAGACAUGGAAAAAAGAUGGGGAAACUCCACAUUGUGACAAUCAAGCAACAACGCUGUGAGUCACGGAAAGUGGUUUGGUUGCUUUGCUUUAAAAAGAAAAGGAAAGCAAGUGUCAGACCCUCCUGGACUGCAGAGACAUGCAAGGGCUUCAUUUUUAAUUUUUUGCUAAGAGUCUUGGAAACUUGGGGGGAGGGAUGGGAGCAAAAGGAGCUACUUUAAUACUUAGCGGCCGGGAGUCGCAACUUUCCAGCAGUUCCAUGCACCUCCCGCAACGUUUUGCCACUAUCAUUUUAUCGUGCCUCAUUUCCAUCUUUGGUAAUUCUCCAAGGCCAAAUUUUUCCUUUCGCUCUCGUGUACGUUAUUUCUUAAUAGUAAAAAAACAUAGAGGCAAUGCAACACAAGGUCUCCAUCCAUUUUGCAGAUUGGUGCUAAAAUCAGGUUUUUAUUACAGCGGGCAAGGGGUGUGCCUUGUUAAUACCUGAUCCUUCCAUUUGUCUUGCCAGCACCUAUUUCCGCUUCCUGUUACUUCUCAGGAUAGGCAUCCAACCAGGAUACUUGUAGUACCCGUGGAUCCCUGACUGAUACUAUCAGAGGCUUACCUGCAGCCCUCCAAGGUGCAGUGGACAGGGAUGGAGGUCAGCAGGUGAGCUGGCCUGUGCCAUCUACUCGUGCCCUGCUCCUGUUGCAUUAUGAGGGCUCUCACACGCUUUUUGCAGGCCACCUGCUCACUGCCCUCCCCACCUCCCCUCUCCCCAUCCCAAGAUGGUUCUGCCCUCCCGCUGCCCCCACCAGCUGCAAUAGCUUGGCUUGCACCGAGUUUGGCUUCAGUGACUAUUGGAAGUUGUCUGUGCAGAGCUGUCGCACCCUUGCUGGUUCUCGUGUACUGUAUCUGCAACUUUUAUAUAUCGGUACAUAUACAUAUAUAUAUAUCUAAGUAUAUAUAUUGAGAUGUAUUUAAUGUUGAAGAAGGGGGGGAAACAAAAGAAAAGGUGCAGUUGCAUUUGUAGAAAUAUUUUUUAAAGAAAUGCUUUUUUCAAUUAAAUUAUUUAAGAAAUUUGCGG
This is a non-coding RNA of Podarcis lilfordi (Lilford's wall lizard), 5981 nucleotides long. Lineage: Eukaryota; Metazoa; Chordata; Lepidosauria; Squamata; Lacertidae. The record is from the annotation of a GenBank genome assembly.